ACGGGGUGMUUGCACCCWGUGGCGAAACGGGUGAGUAACACGUAUYUAAUCUACCUAUUAGCGGGGGAUAAACAGUUGGAAACGACUGCUAAUACYGCAUACGACAUUUUUGGCAUCAGAGAAUGUUAAAAGGUCCGUUUGGACCASUAAUGGAUGAGGGUGCGGCGUAUUAGUUAGUUGGKGGGGUAAUGGCCUAYCAAGACAAUGAUAYGUAGCCGAACUGAGAGGUUGAACGGCCACAUCGGGACUGAGACACGGCCUGAACUCCUWCGGGAGGCAGCAGUAAAGAAUUUUUCACAAUGGGCGAAAGCCUGAUGGAGCAAUAACCCGUGAMUGAAGACGGUCUUCGGAUUGUAAAGGUCUGUGUAAGGGAAGAACAGUAAGUUUAGGAAA
Molecule: ribosomal RNA, 393 nt
Filed under: uncultured Spiroplasma sp.
Lineage: Bacteria; Bacillati; Mycoplasmatota; Mollicutes; Entomoplasmatales; Spiroplasmataceae
Description: partial 16S ribosomal RNA
Source: RNAcentral